UACGUAGGUGACAAGCGUUGUCCGGAUUUACUGGGCGUAAAGAGCGCGCAGGCGGUCGUUCAAGUCGAGUGUGAAAGCCCCCGGCUCAACUGGGGAGGGUCAUUCGAUACUGAUCGACUCGAAGGCAGGAGAGGGUAGUGGAAUUCCCGGUGUAGUGGUGAAAUGCGUAGAUAUCGGGAAGAACACCCGUGGCGAAGGCGGUUCUCUGGGACGGUACUGACGCUGAGGCGCGAAAGCCAGGGGAGCAAACGGG
This 253-nucleotide ribosomal RNA is filed under the name uncultured bacterium. RNAcentral describes it as "partial 16S ribosomal RNA". It matches the Rfam family "Bacterial small subunit ribosomal RNA", at positions 524 to 776 of the family's 1533-position model. The record is from RNAcentral.